AUGCGGUUGUGUUUGUUUAAUAUAUGUAAUCUUCCAAACUGAAGCAAAGUUGUUGCUUGUCUGUUUAAAUUAAUGAUCUCCAGCUGAUCUGAUGAUUUCCUUUUUAGUCUUAUAAACUAUGAUUUACUGACCAAAUUAUUGUUAAUGAACUACUUUAUAAAUCUAUAUGCUAUUCAUUUGGUAUGAUCGAUUUUAAAAAGAGGCAGCAGCUGCCAACUAUACGCCCUGAGUGCCAACUUGCAAUAAAAUAGUUAAUGACCAUCAAAUGAUGAACUUACUCAAAGAAAAAAGAAAAAAAGGCCCGACUACCAAAUGAUGAACCCUCACAUAAGAAUUAAAGAUGGUAAGCUGUCUGAAUCAUCCCAUUUCGUAAAGAAAAUGUGGAACAUCUCUCUCUUUUUUUUUUUGAUGAAAUGUGGAGGAAGUAAAGGCACUUCCCUGUAUUUUUAUUAACGAGAACAGAACAUCUCUUUUCAUAAUACAUUUGGCCAACUUAAGUA
Molecule: long non-coding RNA, 500 nt
Filed under: Elaeis guineensis (African oil palm)
Lineage: Eukaryota; Viridiplantae; Streptophyta; Magnoliopsida; Arecales; Arecaceae
Description: long non-coding RNA (EGUI_LNC005677)
Source: RNAcentral